This 1045-nucleotide long non-coding RNA is filed under the name Lonchura striata (white-rumped munia). RNAcentral's name for it is "domestica (Bengalese finch) lncRNA (ENSLSDG00000007631.1)". Lineage: Eukaryota; Metazoa; Chordata; Aves; Passeriformes; Estrildidae. The record is from RNAcentral.
CUCUCCCCCUCCCCAUUUUGGGGGUGCCCCCGUCUGUCACAACCUCCCGUGGGGAUUUUGGGGUGCACGGAGCCGCCGACGUGUUGCCUCGGGUGCGAGCGCUGGCAGGGAAGUUAACUGUGGAGCAGACGUGCGGAAUUGCUCCUGGAAAACAUCAACAGCUUUUUUUUGGGGUGGGGGGGGUCUUCAUGGUGGGGAAAGAAACCCCCAGCGCCGCUUCUUUAUUUUGGGGCAGGAGCCCGGGGGGAUGAAUUUUGCUCGCGGGGCGGUGGGGGAUGGAGAGGACGGAAGGAGAGGAGGGUGAACAAUGAGAUCUAUUCAAAGCACGGGCCACAAAGCGGACUGUGGAGCCAGGCCGAUUCCAGCCGCAUUGUUGUCCCAGCUGUCUUCCCGUGGGAGGAGGAGGAGGAGGAGGAGGCGGCAGGGAGGAAGGGCAGCGGCGGGAUUUACUUCCCAUCGCUGCCACGGGCUGUGGAGGAUGGAAAUCCCUGCUCGCUGCUUCCCCGGCCCUCGUGGGGGACAAAAAAGAGCCUGGAAUGGUAAAGACGUGCCUGUUGGAAAGGGGUGGGAUGGCGACGAGGGGAAAAUGCUGGUUAAUGAUAAACUGGAGAGGUUUUGGCUCCCCCAAACCUCCGUGUGGGAUUCCUCAGCCCUGGAGCUGAGAAAAGUGCAGGAAAUGCUGGUGGUCCCCCACUGCACGUGGGAUUGUUUUCUUCCUCCAUCAGAUCCGUGUGAGUUUGGGGUGUUCGGGCUGUGCAAUAUUCCCAUUUCUGGAGCAUCCAGUGCUAAAAGCACUGGGCUCACCCUGGGAACUCCAGAGAGGAGCCUGCACAUGAGCCCUGCCUUAUCCAAAUUUUUGUAUUUAAUGUUCUGUGCUCUUCUUGCCUGCACAGAUUAUUUUCUUUUUUUUUUUUUUUUUUUUUUUUUUUUAAUUAUUAUUUUGCACUGCUGCAGAGUGGCUGGAUACAGAGCAAAGAGUAAAAAGCAGGUUGGUGACAGAUUUCAGAUUUUUGGGGGGGGGAAAUUUCUAGUAGAGCAUCAACAU